This 119-nucleotide ribosomal RNA is filed under the name Cavia aperea (Brazilian guinea pig). Lineage: Eukaryota; Metazoa; Chordata; Mammalia; Rodentia; Caviidae. The record is from RNAcentral.
GUCUAUGGCCAUACCACCCUGAACGCACCCGAUCUCGUCUGAUUUUGGAAGCUAAGCAGGGUUGGGCCUGGUUAGUAUUUGGAUGGGAGACUGCCUGCGAAUACCGGGUGCUGUAGGCC